This 472-nucleotide ribosomal RNA is filed under the name uncultured bacterium. RNAcentral describes it as "bacterial SSU rRNA". It matches the Rfam family "Bacterial small subunit ribosomal RNA", at positions 355 to 825 of the family's 1533-position model. The record is from RNAcentral.
UGAGGAAUUAUGCGCAAUGGACGAAAGUCUGACGCUGCGACGUCGCGUGGGUGAUGAAGGUCUUCGGAUCGUAAAACCCUGUCGAGAGGGAAGAAAGAGCGGGCGCUAAUAUCGCCUACUUCUGACGGUACCUCUGGAGGAAGCCCCGGCUAACUCUGUGCCAGCAGCCGCGGUAAUACGAAGGGUCCUAGCGUUGUUCGGAAUCAUUGGGCGUAAAGAGCACGUAGGUGGCCUUGUAAGUCAGAUGUGAAAGCCCAGGGCUCAACCCUGGAAGUGCAUCUGAAACUGCUUGGCUUGAGUACAGAAGAGGUAAGUGGAAUUCCUGGUGUAGUGGUGAAAUACGUAGAUAUCAGGAGGAACAUCGGUGGCGAAGGCGGCUUACUGGUCUAGUACUGACACUGAGGUGCGAAAGCAUGGGGAUCAAACAGGAUUAGAUACCCGGGUAGUCCCUGAGCGGGCUGGCAAGGCGCAU